GCAGAGCUCCGGGAUGACCCAAUCAUCAGCACGCACUUGGCCAAGUUGUAUGACAACUUACUGGAACAGAAUCUCAUCCGAGUCAUUGAGCCUUUUUCCCGAGUACAGAUUGAACACAUAUCUAGCCUCAUCAAACUCUCCAAGGCCGAUGUGGAAAGGAAAUUAUCACAGAUGAUUCUUGACAAGAAAUUUCAUGGGAUCUUGGACCAGGGGGAGGGCGUCUUGAUUAUUUUCGAUGAACCCCCAGUAGAUAAAACGUACGAAGCUGCACUGGAAACAAUUCAGAACAUGAGUAAAGUAGUGGAUUCCCUCUACAACAAAGCCAAGAAACUGACAUAGAAUUGGAUCUGUAGCGGUCCUUUGGAGAGUGUGUGUGGCGGGAGAGUGAAACCUUUGGGGAAAAUGCUAGGAGAUUCUUUUUUCUUUCUGUUCUACUUUUCGCUCGGAAAGUUUUUAAAUCCUCAUUUGGUGCAUCUGUAUUCCAGCCGAUAGGUGUGCCAGUUUUCAUGUAAUCUUUACUGGCCCAACUUGGGAGUGGGGAAAUUGCUUAAAAAAAAGAAAAAGAAAAAAAAAAAAAAAGGUUAUUCUAAAUAAAAGGAAAAAGGCUUACACUACCUAAAGCUGUGCUCUCUGCCUCCUGGGAGAGGGCUGCAAAGCCAGGCGCUCCGCCAGCCACUGGGGCUCCUGACCCACACUCGCUGGGUAUCACCUCGCCUCCUCUUCAGAAUUGGGUGUUUGCCUGACCAUCAAAGCAACGACUUUUUAUUCUGUUUGUACGGAACCAAAACAAACAACUGUGUAUAGACUAUUUUCUUUUUUAUUUGAAAUGAGGCGUUUCGGUGUUCUUUCCCCUGCCAUACGGCCUGUCCACUCGCCUCUCCCCCGACAUGGCUCCAGCAGACUGGCUGAAGGUCCCGCCGCCGCCGCCCCCACCCACACCCCCANCACCACCACCGCCACCGCCACCGCCACCGCCGCCGCCGCCGCUGCAGCAGCAGCACCUGCUCGGCUCCGCUCCGACCUGUGAAGGACUGCGGAUGAGGCCAGGAGCUAGUGUCCACCUCGGCCACACGGGGAGCAGCGUGGGCCCUCUGGGGGCCUGCUGUGCAUGUGGCUCUUUUUAACACAGUAAACUAGAUUAGACGUCAGUGUUUUAAUUGCUCCCCCCUCUGCUUUUUUCUCUGUCUCCCUCUGUCUCCUCUCAGCCAGGAGACCAUCCCAUGUCUCUCUUUGCUUCCUCCUUCUCCCUCCAGGGAGAAAUUCUGAAAUUCUUCAGCUUCUCUCUCCGUCCCACUGCUCCUCUCCUGCUGGCAGAUGGAUUUAUUCCUUUUUAAAACAGUGAACAUUGGAAAUGAGACUGUGGGGUGUGGUUUUUUUCUCCCAGUUUCGUUGUUGGGUUUUCGCGCAACCUCAUGUCCCCCUCCCAGGGAGCUUCUCGAUUUACCUCUUAGAAGUGGGUGGCUGGGAGGUAGAGCACUGUACUCCAGCAUGCUUGGUUUAACGAUGAGAUUCCUUAGCAAGGCUUUAAUGCCGUUUGGGCAGGUAAGCUUCUGCACCUCUGUUGUGCUCAGCUCUGUUUUCUUCUUUCUCUCAUGUCCUCUUUGUCGUCCCUCCCGCUGCCCCCGCCUCCUUCCCGCUGGCCUCCUUUUCUCUUUCUUUCCCUUUCUCAGAUUAUCCUUCCAGGUUUUCGUAAUAAAUUUAUAUUUUGUAAAAGGAUUUUGUUGUACCAGGUUUUGCAUCCUCACUGAAUCUGACUGGCUUUUGUUUUCCUCUCCAAAAUCAGGUAUUUGUUCUCAACAUCUUUCCCCAUCAUGUCCAGUCACUGUUUUGGUUUUGGCACCAUCAAUAUCAAAUGUACAAACGGUUCUUGCUAACCAACACCAGGUAUAUCUGAUGUUCAGAUGAGUUCCAAUAAAAACAAUUUUUUUUUCAAAAAGUGUCCUUUCUUGAGUGCUGGAGGGCUUCUGAUCAAGUCCAGACAGGUCUGUGUAGCCCUCUAGACUGGAGAAAGUUCUGCUAUCGCGUUUGUUUCAUGGGAGACCUUCAGAUCUGGGUGAGAAAGUUGGUCUCGGAGGUCCGAAAUAGGGAAUGGGGUUCUCUUAUCUUUGUUCUUCCAAGGCAUCAUGGUCCAGAGAGGAUACGGGGUUUGGGCUGUAAUAUCCUCUGAGCCUAUUUUCUCACCUAUAAAACAGGACGGCGCUUCUUUGGUAGGUAAUUGUGGUGAGGGGGUUACAUGAAGUCAUGGAAGUGCAGGUGCUUGGAGAGCCCUGGCAUUUAGUUUGGUUUUGUUUUCAUUUGGAAUCUUGUACAAAAGCAAUUGAAAUUGAUGCUGCGGGGAGUGGUCUGUCCCGAAGCGCUCCACUGGGACGGGAUGGGUGGGCUGGAGCCGUUCUGUUCCGUGUUUCAGUAUUGUGUCUCUGUGUAUAGUUUCACUUAAGGAAGAGGUGUGCUCUAAUAAAGGACUUUAAAAAUAUUCCAAAGGGAUCCAGAGGAUCCAGAGCUGGGGUGGGGUGGGGGGUUCCCAGGAGCUCAGUGGGGCAGCAGUCCUUUCCUCUGCUCCCCUUGCAGGUCUGCUGACUUCUAGACCUGCGCUGUCUGCUGUGUGGCCACGAGCCCCGCGUGGCUGUUGAGUCCUUGAUGUCCUGACAUGUAAACAAACCAGACUUUGAAGGAAUGUGAAAAAAGAAUGAAAAAUUGCUCCACUUUUUAAAUAUAUUUUGAAAUAUUUUGAGCAUUUACUGGGUUAAAUAAAAUAUAGUAUCAAAA
RNAcentral lists this long non-coding RNA (2766 nucleotides) under Sus scrofa (pig). RNAcentral describes it as "lncRNA (ENSSSCG00045028627.1)". Lineage: Eukaryota; Metazoa; Chordata; Mammalia; Artiodactyla; Suidae. The record is from RNAcentral.